GACGAACGCUGGCGGCGUGCCUAACACAUGCAAGUCGAACGGAGUUGCUCUUCGGAGUAACUUAGUGGCGGACGGGUGAGUAACGCGUGAACAACCAACCCUGCACAGGGGGACAACAGCUGGAAACGGCUGCUAAUACCGCAUAAGACCACAGAGCCGCAUGGCUUAGGGGUCAAAGGAGAAAUCCGGUGCAGGACGGGUUCGCGUCCCAUUAGCUAGUAGGCGGGGUAACGGCCCACCUAGGCAACGAUGGGUAGCCGAGCUGAGAGGCUGAUCGGCCACACUGGGACUGAGAUACGGCCCAGACUCCUACGGGAGGCAGCAGUGGGGAAUAUUGGGCAAUGGACGCAAGUCUGACCCAGCAACGCCGCGUGAAGGAAGAAGGCUUUCGGGUUGUAAACUUCUUUUAAGAGGGAAGAGUAGAAGACGGUACCUCUUGAAUAAGCCACGGCUAACUACGUG
This 462-nucleotide ribosomal RNA is filed under the name uncultured bacterium. RNAcentral describes it as "bacterial SSU rRNA". It matches the Rfam family "Bacterial small subunit ribosomal RNA", at positions 28 to 507 of the family's 1533-position model. The record is from RNAcentral.